This 465-nucleotide ribosomal RNA is filed under the name Vreelandella stevensii. RNAcentral's name for it is "partial 16S ribosomal RNA". It matches the Rfam family "Bacterial small subunit ribosomal RNA", at positions 338 to 795 of the family's 1533-position model. Lineage: Bacteria; Pseudomonadati; Pseudomonadota; Gammaproteobacteria; Oceanospirillales; Halomonadaceae. The record is from RNAcentral.
CCUACGGGGUGCUGCAGUGGGGAAUAUUGGACAAUGGGCGAAAGCCUGAUCCAGCCAUGCCGCGUGUGUGAAGAAGGCCUUCGGGUUGUAAAGCACUUUCAGUGGGGAAGAAAGCCUUGGGGCUAAUACCCUCGAGGAAGGACAUCACCCACAGAAGAAGCACCGGCUAACUCCGUGCCAGCAGCCGCGGUAAUACGGAGGGUGCGAGCGUUAAUCGGAAUUACUGGGCGUAGAGCGCGCGUAGGCGGUCUGAUAAGCCGGUUGUGAAAGCCCCGGGCUCAACCUGGGAACGGCAUCCGGAACUGUCAGGCUAGAGUGCAGGAGAGGAAGGUAGAAUUCCCGGUGUAGCGGUGAAAUGCGUAGAGAUCGGGAGGAAUACCAGUGGCGAAGGCGGCCUUCUGGACUGACACUGACGCUGAGGUGCGAAAGCGUGGGUAGCAAACAGGAUUAGAUACCCUGGUAGUC